This 1525-nucleotide ribosomal RNA is filed under the name Salibacteraceae bacterium. Its description in RNAcentral is "bacterial SSU rRNA". It matches the Rfam family "Bacterial small subunit ribosomal RNA". The record is from RNAcentral. Lineage: Bacteria; Pseudomonadati; Bacteroidota; Flavobacteriia; Flavobacteriales; Salibacteraceae.
ACAACGGAGAGUUUGAUCCUGGCUCAGGAUGAACGCUAGCGGCAGGCUUAACACAUGCAAGUCGAACGGUAACAUAGUCAGCUUGCUGAUUGAUGACGAGUGGCGCACGGGUGCGUAACGCGUAUGCAACCUACCUUUAACUGGAGGAUAGCCCGAAGAAAUUCGGAUUAAUACUCCAUAAUAUAUGUCCUUCGCAUGUUGGACAUAUUAAAGCUUUGGCGGUUAAAGAUGGGCAUGCGUAACAUUAGCUAGUUGGUAAGGUAACGGCUUACCAAGGCUACGAUGUUUAGGGGGCCUGAGAGGGUUAUCCCCCACACUGGAACUGAGACACGGUCCAGACUCCUACGGGAGGCAGCAGUGAGGAAUAUUGGUCAAUGGACGAAAGUCUGAACCAGCCAUGCCGCGUGCAGGAAGACGGCCCUACGGGUUGUAAACUGCUUUUAUACGGGAAUAAACCCUUGAACGUGUUCGAGGCUGAAGGUACCGUACGAAUAAGCACCGGCUAACUCCGUGCCAGCAGCCGCGGUAAUACGGAGGGUGCAAGCGUUAUCCGGAUUUAUUGGGUUUAAAGGGUGCGUAGGCGGGCUAUUAAGUCAGUGGUGAAAUCUCUCAGCUUAACUGGGAAACUGCCAUUGAUACUGAUAGCCUUGAAUUUAGUUGAAGUAGGCGGAAUGAGGCAUGUAGCGGUGAAAUGCAUAGAUAUGCCUCAGAACACCGAUCGCGAAGGCAGCUUACUAAACUAACAUUGACGCUGAGGCACGAAAGCGUGGGUAGCAAACAGGAUUAGAUACCCUGGUAGUCCACGCUGUAAACGAUGAUUACUCGCUGUUGGCGAUACACUGUCAGCGGCCAAGCGAAAGUGAUAAGUAAUCCACCUGGGGAGUACGUUCGCAAGAAUGAAACUCAAAGGAAUUGACGGGGGCCCGCACAAGCGGUGGAGCAUGUGGUUUAAUUCGAUGAUACGCGAGGAACCUUACCAGGGCUUAAAUGUAGAACGACCGAUUUGGAAACAAGUCCUCUCUUUGAGCGGUCUACAAGGUGCUGCAUGGUUGUCGUCAGCUCGUGCCGUGAGGUGUCGGGUUAAGUCCCUUAACGAGCGCAACCCCUAUCUCUAGUUGCCAGCGGAUAAUGCCGGGGACUCUAGAGAAACUGCCCGCGCAAGCGGUGAGGAAGGCGGGGAUGACGUCAAAUCAUCACGGCCCUUACGUCCUGGGCUACACACGUGCUACAAUGGUCGGUACAAUGGGCAGCUACCACGCAAGUGGAUGCGAAUCUCUAAAGCCGAUCUCAGUUCGGAUUGAAGUCUGCAACUCGACUUCAUGAAGCUGGAAUCGCUAGUAAUCGGAUAUCAGCCAUGAUCCGGUGAAUACGUUCCCGGGCCUUGUACACACCGCCCGUCAAGCCAUGGAAGCCGAGGGUGCCUGAAGUCGGUUGCCGUAAGGCGCUGCCUAGGGUAAAAUUGGUAACUGGGGCUAAGUCGUAACAAGGUAGCCGUACCGGAAGGUGCGGCUGGAAUACCUCCUUU